GAUAGAGCUAGAGAUUAUGUUCAAUUGCAGGCGCAGAUGCUCCGAUUUUCAAAACCAUUUGGUGCAUAGUUGAAAAGUUAAUGGAAUAAUUAGAAAAAUAAAAGCAGUAAUUUUCAAUGAAAUAUAAGAGGUGUGCUGUGAGAGCAUGGGAAGAUGGUCAAAUGCGUAUAUCACGACCAAUGCAUGAUAAUUGGCAGCUCUGACAGCUCAUGUUUCUCAUGUGUAGGACAUAGAAUGGCCUACAAACCUUUUCUGUAUUGUUUCUUCUAUGCUGUUGAAAUUGAGGCACAUUAAUGAAGUUGACGUUAGUUGGCUGGGUGAAAGUAAAUCAAGCGAGCAUUUCACCAAUUUGACUGCUGGACUACUUUAAAGCCCAAGUCAAACCCUGUUUACAAGGAAAGUCCCGUUGAUGUUCGCCACGCAGUUAUUAUGAUGAUCAGCUGACACAAGCUAAAUAUUAGCACAUGAUGAGACAUCUCAAAGUGAAACUUAACUUAUCCAGUUAACUGGUUCAGUCGAAAGUGCACUAAUACUCAACUUUGAGUGCUCUCAACACCUGCUGAGCAUUGUUUAAAGAAAGAUGUUGACUACCUCAACUUGACUCACGAUCCUUAUUAUUCACCUAGUACCCCAACUCGAGGCAAGAAGAGGUAGUGAAAGUGCACUGACUCCUACAGGCUCCUCGUGAUGGUUCUCUCAACCAUGGAGCACAGCACCAGAAGACCUCCACGCUACUGGCCUCCGGUGGCUCUUUUCCUCGUCUUCAUCCUCACCCAGCAGCUCUACGCCCUCAUCGUGUUACACGGCCAGUUGGUCAGCUCUAGUGAGGCCAACAUCAGCCCUUUCAACUUCUGCCUCCAGGGACAAGAUGUUGGAGUUACCUGUGAUGAUCAACACAACAACAUGGCUACCACCGCUGGUGUAUUAGUGGAUAUCCCCAGGGUUCUGGUCAUUAUGAGUCUGUAUAUUCCACUGGUGCUGGUGCCCUUUGCCCUCAUGGCCUUUCUGUUUGCAGUCUGCUGUGAUGACAGAGGGGUGUUGUGGUUCAGUGUCAGCUGUCUCGCUGCUUCCAGCCUACUGAUGCUUGUGGGCCUCUGUGUGUUUGUGGGGCUCCACUUUAACUAUGUGUCAUUGGCUGGUAUGACAGCAGGGUACUAUGUCUGUGUGUUUGUUAAUGCUGAGCUGGUUACAGCAGCUGUACUGACCUGGAUGACAGGGAGGCGGCAGCCAAGAGAAGACGACAUCCAAUGAUAACUAAUAACCCAGUGGAGAGGCUUGCUGGUAACCAACAAGGGAUUGUCCUCCCUAGUGUUCAAAUAAGAGGAAAUGUUCAGCAACCCCUAACUGACUUCAAACAUUUGUUUGCUGGUCAGGAAAAACAUGUAAACUUUUGAUUUGUUUAUUUCAAGUUUUUCAAUGUGUUCAACAUGAUCAACCAAAAGGGUGUACAUUUUAAAUGACUGUCUAUAUAAUGUUUUUCAAAACAUACUAUUCAUAACUUUAUUUUGUCUGUUUUCAUGUUUGUGUUCUGUUCUGUACAUGGAUGCAUAUUUUAAAUCAAAUUAAGUUUCCAAUAUAAACUCUGAUACAGAGAUACUUUGCUCUUUGACUACUACUACUAUAGUCCUACUGUACUGUGGUCGGUAAUGUUGACGUCAAAAAUGCUACAGUCAUUUUAAUAAAUCGACCACUAGCCUAAGUAAUUAAAAAAGAUAUUGCAUACCUUUUGGAUAACUCAUGUUCCAGUAAAUGAGUGUGAACCUACUUUACCUUAUAAUCAUUGUUAAGUUAAAACCACCAAUUUUGCACACGAGUCUCAAAUGUACAUGAUUUAUUCAUCAAAAUUGUGAAGUGUAUGACAUGCCUGUUGAUCAUAAGCCUAUGUUGAUGGUCAACAAAGAUUUCUCUAAUUUCUGCGAAUUUGGUCAGGUCACCAAAAAAGUGACAUAUUGCAGCUUUAAAAAUAAAAUAAAUUGGAUCAAUAAAAGUGCCUUUAGAAUA
Oncorhynchus nerka (sockeye salmon) is the source of this 2001-nucleotide long non-coding RNA. RefSeq lists it as uncharacterized. The record is from RefSeq and is a predicted model, not a curated record. NCBI's taxonomy places the organism in Eukaryota, Metazoa, Chordata, Actinopteri, Salmoniformes, Salmonidae. The transcript is spliced from 2 exons.